Oxyura jamaicensis (ruddy duck) is the source of this 913-nucleotide long non-coding RNA. RefSeq lists it as uncharacterized. The record is from RefSeq and is a predicted model, not a curated record. Lineage: Eukaryota; Metazoa; Chordata; Aves; Anseriformes; Anatidae. The transcript is spliced from 6 exons.
AAGAACAUGGAGAUUUUGCAAUUUGAGCUGAGGCAGGCAGGAGCUCUUUGGCAGGAGAAGAGGCCUCCCGAGGGCUUGGAGGUGAACAGCAGAGCCACCAAGGACAGUGUGCAGGAAUCAGAGUGAUGUUCUCUCUCAUGGGAAGAGGAAGCCAUACAACAACUACACCAGGGCAGAACCCUCCAUGGGAGACAACAGCUUAUAAACUGCUGGGACUACCAGAAAACACAACAAGCCCCGUGAACCACUGGAAGGAGCCCGCCAGCUGCAGAAAGGCAGUGAGAGGAUCAAAAGAGCAACGUCCCAGGCAUUCCUGAUGUCCUGCAGAUCUUCAGCAAGAACUGUGGAGGAACAGAGCAAGAAAAGCUAGACAUUGCUUCCUGUGCACAUCAGAUAAGGCAGAGUCUUUGCCUUCCCUGCAUAUGCAUGAAGCCCACAUUGCCUUUCAGGACUUUGUGCAAAAGUCCAAGAAGCGCAAAGCUGCAAAGAAAUGCUGCCGCCUACAUGCUGCCCCAGUUUCCCCAGGCAAGGGGUGAUGAUCUGGUGAAGCCACUGAAUCCCUGCCAGCAGGGAUUCGGAUCCAGAAGCAGGCAAGAGCACCAGAGCAGCUGUGGUGCUCUGGAUCAAAGCCCACCAUCUGAUGGACUGUCACCGGCAGCCGGUGGAAGCAAGCACCCAGGGAGGAAAGCAAAAGCGGGAUCUUUCCUCAGAGCCAAAAGGCUGUAACCAGAUAACCAACACAUUUUUUCCCUGUCUCCAUGGCUUAGUAAAGCAUUAGGAGAUCCUCUGAGAAGCACUAUAAAUGCUGAAACUGGAUUCAGAAUGAAAGUCUACCUGCUCUCAGAGACAGUCUCGCAUCUGCUUUGUCUGUGCCCCAUCCAGCCACGAGCAAGCUGCACCUGGAAGCCACAGA